UGCAGGGAAGUAAACAGCAAUGCCUGGCUCAUAGCAACCAGUCAGGGACUGUUCCCCAUCCUGAUUACCGAAGUGACUAAGCCCAGAACCCGGGCCACCAGCUCCGCUCCCAGCCGAACACCUGGCUGGUGACAGCUAAUAAUGAAUAAGUCGGUUAACGGAGAGGAGGGACUUCGGAGUUGGCAGUAGGGAGCUCCCCAUCACUCGCAGUGUGCAGCACAAACCAGAGGAGGGAUUCACACUGCAGCGGCGUUUCGUGUGCACAGCCCUGAGCUCUGGUGGUCAAGAGCAGCAGGGGAGAAGAGCACAACGUGACAGCUGAUGGCCUGGGAGACCAAGGACACCCAAGCUCAAGGACACCUGCUGUACACAUCGCCGCCAAGGCCAAGAACAGGCCUCACACUGCCACCUGGCCCUGAGCUUCUCUUCCCACCAGACACAGUGAGCAAGCUCGCCUCUCUGGAUGCGUGCUGACCUCAAGGAGUCCUGGCUGUCUGCGGAGAAAGAACAGUAACAAGCCUGGCACGGUGGUGCACGGCUGUGAACCCAGCACUUGGGGAGGCCGAGGUAGGAGAGUUGCAAGUAUGAGGCAAGUCUCAAAAAAUAUGAAGGGUUGGAUGCAGCUCAGAGCCCAGGCCCUGGGUUUAAUCUCCAGUGCCAUUAAAAAAAAAAAGAAGAAGAAAGAAAAAGAACAUUAACUAGAGGGCAAGGCAGAGGGCUGGAACGACAGCUGUGUGCCUGACUAGCUAUGUGACCCUCCGCUGCUCCUGGAAAAUGGAAAGAGAGAAUACCUGCCUCUCGCAGCUUGUGAGUCAAGUGAGGUGAUUGGGUAAAAGGCCUGGCAGAUUCCUGUUAUCACAAGCGGCUGCCGCCGCCGCCUG
Molecule: long non-coding RNA, 881 nt
Organism: Fukomys damarensis (Damara mole-rat)
Lineage: Eukaryota; Metazoa; Chordata; Mammalia; Rodentia; Bathyergidae
Exons: 3
Source: RefSeq, a predicted model, not a curated record